ACGGAGUUAAUCGACAGCACUGAGCUGACAAGCCGACAAGCUAGCAAGCGAACAAGCAAGAGGAAUAGAAGACUUUGAGUAUGAAGUUUUAUACCUGAUAGCUUGUAAGCCUGUAAGCUGGGGAGCUUGCAAGCUUUGUGCUGUUGGUUAACUUAGUGGCGGACGGGUGAGUAACACGUAGGUAACCUGCCCUGAAGAGGGGGACAACACCGCGAAAGCGGUGCUAAUACCGCAUAAGACCACGAUCUGGGAUGGUUGUGGUAAAAGUAGCAAUACACUUCAGGAUGGGCCUGCGGCCUAUCAGGUAGUUGGUGGGGUAACGGCCCACCAAGCCAGAGACGGGUAGCCGGUCUGAGAGGACGAACGGCCACACUGGAACUGAGACACGGUCCAGACUCCUACGGGAGGCAGCAGUGGGGAAUUUUGCACAAUGGGGGAAACCCUGAUGCAGCGACGCCGCGUGGAGGAUGAAGGCCUUCGGGUUGUAAACUCCUUUUCUCAGGGACAAUGAUGAUGGUACCUGAGGAAUAAGCCACGGCUAACUCUGUGCCAGCAGCCGCGGUAAGACAGAGGUGGCAAGCGUUGUUCGGAAUCACUGGGCUUAAAGGGCGCGUAGGUGGUAGUGCAAGUCUGAGGUGGAAUCCCAUGGCUUAACCAUGGAACUGCCUUGGA
RNAcentral lists this ribosomal RNA (672 nucleotides) under uncultured bacterium. RNAcentral describes it as "bacterial SSU rRNA". It matches the Rfam family "Bacterial small subunit ribosomal RNA", at positions 1 to 630 of the family's 1533-position model. The record is from RNAcentral.